UACGUAGGGAGCGAGCGUUGUCCGGAUUUAUUGGGCGUAAAGAGCGCGUAGGCGGCUCGGUAGGCCGGAUGUGAAACCUCCAAGCUCAACUUGGAGCGGCCAUUCGGAACUGCUGUGGCUAGAGUCUGGUAGGGGAACACGGAAUUCCUGGUGUAGCGGUGAAAUGCUUAGAUAUCAGGAGGAACACCAGUGGCGAAGGCGGUGUUCUGGGCCAGUACUGACGCUGAGGCGCGAAAGCGUGGGGAGCGAACAGG
This 254-nucleotide ribosomal RNA is filed under the name uncultured bacterium. RNAcentral's name for it is "partial 16S ribosomal RNA". It matches the Rfam family "Bacterial small subunit ribosomal RNA", at positions 524 to 776 of the family's 1533-position model. The record is from RNAcentral.